AAAAGAAUUAGGAACAAAAGUACACAUUUAUCUUCCUCAGACUCGGAUUCAGAAGACAAUAUGAAUUGCGUCAAACAACCAAAUGCUAGUCAAAAUAUGAAAGAUGUGGAGUCAAGAACACAACCUUGAGAUGUUGAAAGAUUAUUUUUUAAAAGUAUCUCUUCCUACUGAAGUGUCAUCCCAAAAAUCUCAAUUGAAAUCUGUUAACGAACGUGGUAGAAGUGAAGUCGGUAUCUCACAAACUUCAAAAAGUUUUUCCGAAUCCAACCUAUUUCAUGGUGAAUAUGGUAUGAUUAUUUUUAUAAACAUUACUAUUAUCUAUUGUUUUUGUAGAUGAAAAUUUCUAAAGGGAAAUAUUGAUAGAGCACAAUAUUUUGAACAUCAAGAUGUACCAGCUUUCACAAGACAUAUCUAAUAUGAACUUGAUUAAGAGCAGGCAAGAUGAAGAUCCUGUUCAACAGGAAUCAAUAUUGGAUCAAUUCCAAUUACCUCUGAGAACUGAAGAAGAUCUCAGUCUGUUUGAAGAUUUUCUUUAGGAUAAGGAGAAUGUAGCUAAAAGGAUGACCAAAGAGUGCAGAAUUCUCACCCCAUUGUUGUGAGCUUGGAGACCUGUCAAACUUCUGUUUCUCAGGGAUCUUUUUUCAAUAGAACAGCUGAACUUUGGAACUCCUCAACGAGAGAGGUUUUUCCUAAUGCUUAUAAACUUCAAAAAUUUAAAAUGAAUGUUAGUUAAUUCGUAUCUCCUGUUUCCCAAAUGUUUUCCAGUUCUAUUCACUCAACAUGUUUUU
Long non-coding RNA from Leptinotarsa decemlineata (Colorado potato beetle), 788 nucleotides. RefSeq lists it as uncharacterized. The record is from RefSeq and is a predicted model, not a curated record. NCBI's taxonomy places the organism in Eukaryota, Metazoa, Arthropoda, Insecta, Coleoptera, Chrysomelidae.